Molecule: transfer RNA, 93 nt
Filed under: Laccaria amethystina LaAM-08-1
Lineage: Eukaryota; Fungi; Basidiomycota; Agaricomycetes; Agaricales; Hydnangiaceae
Rfam family: tRNA
About the family: Transfer RNA (tRNA) molecules are approximately 80 nucleotides in length. Their secondary structure includes four short double-helical elements and three loops (D, anti-codon, and T loops).
Source: Rfam by way of RNAcentral
GUCCAGGUCGAUUAGUGGUGAAAUCAUCUCAUUAACAUGUCAAAACUGCAAUGUAGCUAUGAGAAGCGGGAGGUUCGAAUCCUCACCAGGACA